Molecule: ribosomal RNA, 514 nt
Filed under: uncultured bacterium
Lineage: Bacteria
Description: bacterial SSU rRNA
Rfam family: Bacterial small subunit ribosomal RNA
Source: RNAcentral
CACGGUAAACGAUGGAUGCCCGCUGUUUGCUUUUAAAGUAAGCGGCCAAGCGAAAGCAUUAAGCAUCCCACCUGGGGAGUACGCCGGCAACGGUGAAACUCAAAGGAAUUGACGGGGGCCCGCACAAGCGGAGGAACAUGUGGUUUAAUUCGAUGAUACGCGAGGAACCUUACCCGGGCUUGAACUGCCGGCGAACGAUUCAGAGAUGAUGAGGUCCUUCGGGACGCCGGUGGAGGUGCUGCAUGGUUGUCGUCAGCUCGUGCCGUGAGGUGUCGGCUUAAGUGCCAUAACGAGCGCAACCCCUUUCGCCAGUUGCCAUCAGGUGAUGCUGGGCACUCCGGCGACACUGCCACCGCAAGGUGCGAGGAAGGUGGGGAUGACGUCAAAUCAGCACGGCCCUUACGUCCGGGGCUACACACGUGUUACAAUGGGGGGCACAGCGAGCUGGGCGUACGCAAGUGCGUCCGAAUCAAGAAAUCCCCCCUCAGUUCGGACUGGGGUCUGCAACCCGACC